Molecule: non-coding RNA, 535 nt
Organism: Gopherus flavomarginatus (Mexican gopher tortoise)
Lineage: Eukaryota; Metazoa; Chordata; Testudines; Testudinidae
Source: the annotation of a RefSeq genome assembly
GCCACUCAGGCGUAGCAAGAUGAUCUCGCAGGCUCAGCUCAUCUGGCUGUUAAUGCUCUGGAUCCAGGGCUCCAGUGGGCAGAUUGUGAUGACUCAGACUCCAGAAUCCGUGGCAGUGUUGCCAGGAGACAGGGUGACCAUCAACUGCAAAGCCAGUUCCAGCAUCACCAGUGGUAGCACUCACAUCUUAGCUUGGUACCAACAGAAAACAGGACAAGCUCCGAAGCGCCUUAUCUACUAUGCUUCCACCCGCGACUCUGGGAUCCCAGACCGGUUCACCGGCAGUGGGUCUGGAACCGAUUUCACUCUCACAAUCAGCAGCGUUCAAACUGAAGAUGCUGGAGAUUAUUAUUGUCAGCAAGGCUAUAGCUCACCUCUCACAGUGAUACAGACCAAUACAAAAACCACCCUCUUCUGUUCCAUUCUGUCACAGCUGCUUCCUGCAAACAGCCGCCUUCUCAGUGCAAAUGCUAUGUUAUUUGGGGGCAAACUUUCAGCCCCAGAAACAUAUAUACCUGCCGUCUCCACCAUAUAA